This 294-nucleotide long non-coding RNA is filed under the name Panax ginseng (ginseng). RNAcentral's name for it is "long non-coding RNA (PGIN_LNC001480)". Lineage: Eukaryota; Viridiplantae; Streptophyta; Magnoliopsida; Apiales; Araliaceae. The record is from RNAcentral.
UUGUUUGGCUGAUGAGAUUCUGGAAAAUAUCUAACAAGGACGAAAUUGGGAAUUCAAAUGUCUUUGAAUCCGUACAUAAAAGCUUGCAGAUGCUGCAGAAGAUAAAUUUCUAAAAUAGUAAAUAAAACAAACUCAAUUUACCCAUGUAACUAUCAUCCAUUAAACAAAAUGAAAUCAAAUUUCAAUAACUGGGAAUCCCACAAAUUUAUAUAGAAACACAAAGAUGAAAUCUAGUAUCUACAGUUUGAACACUUCAAAAUUUGGGAACAUUUUUGAGAGACUGAGAAAGAAUUG